UGUCCACAGGAGGUUGUGAGGGACUCAGCCAAAGGCAUUUGCGAGAUCCAGGAACACCACGUGAAGAUCUGUUCCCUCCUUUUUUGGAGACCUGGAUCUGAUGCCAGAUGACACCAGUGUUUUCUAUACAACCAGAGAAGCCUGAGAUGCCUGCUUUCUGGAUUGACGUGUCAUUCAAGUUGUUUCUUUGCAGGUAUCCUGCCAGCCUGUGAGCGACCACGCUGAAGAUUUUUCCCUCUACGUUUAGAAGGCUGAUCUGUCGGAACUGCCCGAUCUCUGACGAGUCCUUUUCCUUGGGGAUAAGGAUCCCUCCGGCUCUCCGCCAAGAUAUGUGACCAAGUUUUUUAAGCGAAUUAUCUGGACUCUAUACAGAAGAAACCCAGAGGGUUACGCUUCAAGGGUGUGUGGACAGGAUGACACAAUCUACGGUGGCGAGGAUGAUCAGCUGGAAGCCUGGGAAGAAUCUAUGCCUACAGGAUUAUCUAUGCCUACGAAGAUGUUCUGCACCUUGUAGCCAGAAAUAUAAAGGAGCUGUUUGAAACUGGCUUGACCUUUCCUGGAUUAGAACGCUACAAAAUAGGACAAUGUUUCGAAGACUGCACAUAGGAAGAGUACAAUGAAAUCAUGGAAUCUAAGGAAAAGAAAGAAAUGAUAGAAUCUUUGGGUCCCCGACUCAUGGAAACGCUACGGAAAAUCAAGGCGGAGGAAGAAGAAAAGAAGGUGGAGGAAGAAGAAAAGAAGGAUUCAGACACAAUAAAACAGGGACUAGAGACUAAUUUACUAAACAAGAAUUUACAGAGUAUUCAAUAAAGAGAGCAUUCAAUACUCUUUCACUAUAGAAAGUACAUCGACUGAUAAGCUAAUAUGAGCUUUUAAUGGUCAAAAUAAAAAAUCAAUUACUGUAUAGUCAGUAAUGUAUUU
Tachysurus vachellii is the source of this 921-nucleotide long non-coding RNA. RefSeq lists it as uncharacterized. The record is from RefSeq and is a predicted model, not a curated record. Lineage: Eukaryota; Metazoa; Chordata; Actinopteri; Siluriformes; Bagridae. The transcript has 5 exons.